AUGAAUGGCCAUCUAUGGCCUUCGACCCUUCAAAACUGUGGAGGCAGAGCGUGCUUCGGCGCUCCGGCGCCGCCUUUAUGCUGUAAAAGUUUGUGUCUGAAACUAAAACAUAGUCUA
This 117-nucleotide unclassified non-coding RNA is filed under the name uncultured Ascomycota. RNAcentral's name for it is "sequence contains ITS1". Lineage: Eukaryota; Fungi; Ascomycota. The record is from RNAcentral.